GAUGAAGAACGUAGCGAAAUGCGAUAAGUAAUGUGAAUUGCAGAAUUCAGUGAAUCAUCGAAUCUUUGAACGCACCUUGCGCCCUUUGGCUAUUCCAGAGGGCAUGCCUGUUUGAGUAUCAUGAACACCUCAACUCUCAUGGUUCUGCCAUGAUGAGCUUGGACUUUGGAGGUCUUGCUGGCCCCUGUGGUCAGCUCCUCUCAAAUGGAUCAGCUUGCCAGUGUUUGGUGGCAUCACAGGUGUGAUAACUAUCUACGCUUGUGGUUUUCCACCAGGUAACCUUCAGUGAUGGAGGUUCGCUGGAGCUCAUAAACGUCUCUCCUCAGCGAGGACAGCUUCUUGAAUGUUUGAUCUCAAAUCAGGUAGGGCUACCCGCUGAACUUAAGCAUAUCAAUAAGCGGAGGA
RNAcentral lists this unclassified non-coding RNA (405 nucleotides) under soil metagenome. RNAcentral's name for it is "partial contains 5.8S ribosomal RNA, internal transcribed spacer 2, and large subunit ribosomal RNA". The stretch from base 1 to 121 matches the Rfam family "5.8S ribosomal RNA", at positions 35 to 154 of the family's 154-position model. The record is from RNAcentral.